This 274-nucleotide ribosomal RNA is filed under the name Picochlorum maculatum. RNAcentral's name for it is "partial 18S ribosomal RNA". Lineage: Eukaryota; Viridiplantae; Chlorophyta; Trebouxiophyceae. The record is from RNAcentral.
GAUUUCGAUUUCCGUAGGUGAACCUGCGGAAGGAUCAUUGAAUCGAUCAAACACACACCGCGAACACGCGCGACGCGACCUCGUUUGUUGUCCGGGAUCGCGUCGUCGUCGUCGUUGUUGUUUCCGUUCCGUCGACAGCUAUCACUGCUGUGGUCGGCAACGCACUCCACACGUGUCAAACGCCACUCUGAAGCCGACGUCUCGUGUCGUGUCUUGGGGGGGUUGGUCGUGGGCUUCGCGCUCCGCGUCCCCCCACCGCCACGACGAGACACCG